GAUGAAGAACGUAGCGAAAUGCGAUAUGUAAUGCGAAUUGCAGAAUCCGUGAGUCAUCGAAUCUUUGAACGCACAUUGCGCCCUCUGGUAUUCCGGAGGGCAUGCCUGUUCGAGCGUCAUUAUCACCCCUCAAGCCCGGCUUGUUGUUGGAUGCAGCGCUUAUCCCGCUCCUCCCAAAGAUAAUGACGGCGUCUGCGACGACUCCUGUACACUGAGCUUUCGGGCACGUACACGGCUAGAAGUCCAGACCCGGUCGCCGUCCCCCCCGCGGGGACACCCAUUACCACAAGGUUGACCUCGGAUCAGGUAGGAAUACCCGCUGAACUUAAGCAUAUCAAUAAGCGGAGGA
This 349-nucleotide unclassified non-coding RNA is filed under the name soil metagenome. RNAcentral describes it as "partial contains 5.8S ribosomal RNA, internal transcribed spacer 2, and large subunit ribosomal RNA". The stretch from base 1 to 119 matches the Rfam family "5.8S ribosomal RNA", at positions 35 to 154 of the family's 154-position model. The record is from RNAcentral.